GUCCACGCCCUAAACGAUGAUUACUCGAUGUGUGCGAUACACUGUACGCGUCUGAGCGAAAGCAUUAAGUAAUCCACCUGGGGAGUACGGCCGCAAGGCUGAAACUCAAAGGAAUUGACGGGGCCCGCACAAGCGGAGGAGCAUGUGGUUUAAUUCGAUGAUACGCGAGGAACCUUACCAGGGCUUGAAAGUUAGGGAAUGAUCUGGAAACAGGUCAGUCAGCAAUGACCCGAAACUAGGUGCUACAUGGCUGUCGU
Molecule: ribosomal RNA, 257 nt
Filed under: uncultured bacterium
Lineage: Bacteria
Description: partial 16S ribosomal RNA
Rfam family: Bacterial small subunit ribosomal RNA
Source: RNAcentral